Molecule: ribosomal RNA, 301 nt
Filed under: uncultured bacterium
Lineage: Bacteria
Description: partial 16S ribosomal RNA
Rfam family: Bacterial small subunit ribosomal RNA
Source: RNAcentral
CAGCCGCCGCGGUAAUACGAAGGGUGCAAGCGUUAAUCGGAAUUACUGGGCGUAAAGCGUGCGUAGGCGGUGAGUUAAGUCUGCUGUGAAAUCCCCGGGCUCAACCUGGGAAUGGCAGUGGAUACUGGCUCGCUAGAGUGUGUCAGAGGAUGGUGGAAUUCCCGGUGUAGCGGUGAAAUGCGUAGAGAUCGGGAGGAACAUCAGUGGCGAAGGCGGCCAUCUGGGACAACACUGACGCUGAGGCACGAAAGCGUGGGGAGCAAACAGGAUUAGAUACCCGGGUAGUCCCUGUCUCUUAUCU